AUUUUUUUGUGGAUUUGCGAAUUUUUACGGAUUCACAGAAGUAAAUCCAUAUCCAAUCCACCGACUGUGGAUUUUUAAAUUUUCAUAAUCCAAUCCACAUAUUGGAUUUCUGCGGAUUAGACAGAUUGAGCGGAUUGAAUUGAAUUAUGAACACCCUCAUCCCUUGUGUGUGUCUCAUUUACACCCAUUCUUAAUUACUAGACAAUCAUAAAAUAUAUAACUAAAACACAUUCAUAAUGGUUUUGGUUAAUAAGAAGAAUAAGAAAAGUAUUGAUGUGUUCCCUUACCCUUUCUAUUCUUACCACUAGUAAGCCUAAUGAUGUGUUUACUAAACAAUAAUAUGAAUUGGAAUGGAAGAAUCAAAAUUAAUAAGUUGUUUACCUAUAAAAUGAAGGCUUGGAAUCAUAAUGUGGACCCAUAAAUUUAAGAAUCAUUACUAGAGCUCUGAUUUCCAAGGGUGUUAGAAAGUAGAAUUCUAUUUCAAACAAUAACUUUUUUAUCCCAACUUAAUUUUUGAAUACCCAUUUUAUCCUUAAUUUAAA
This 542-nucleotide long non-coding RNA is filed under the name Citrus x clementina. RNAcentral describes it as "Citrus clementina (C. clementina) long non-coding RNA (CCLE_LNC005784)". Lineage: Eukaryota; Viridiplantae; Streptophyta; Magnoliopsida; Sapindales; Rutaceae. The record is from RNAcentral.